AUUCUUCCACACCGACCCGGCAAUAAGUAACCCCCUUUGGACCUUUUAUUUUUUGAACUCCCUCAAAAACCCGCUCUCCCUCCGUCCGUCCAAACAAUCGAUUCCCUCUCCAAGGAAAAAUUUGAUCCAAUCCCCUCUGUUUUUAUGGCGAUUGAUCUCUCUGUUGCUAAGAUCUAUGGCCGAUUCUCAUGUUUCUCCGAAAGGUCGGAAGAUUCUUGGUCAAGAAGCUACGGAAGAGCGAUUCAGAAAGAUUGCAAGUUUUUCCAAGACGAUCGAGAUUACUUAUCUGUCUUGAAAAUAGCUGACGAUUCCUGACCAAGAAAAUCUACGAACAAGCGACGCUUGACAUGCAGACCUCCUUAAGCGACAAAUGGUUCAAUCAAUUUUGCUGGUACGUCUCUUUCUUCUCUUCUCCCACUACUCUUUCUUUGGUUGAUCUGAGAUCGUCAUGAUCUUUAGAUAAAACCCCAGAAACGCACUUGGCAACCCUUCAAAUAAAACGCACUUGGCAACCCUACAAAUUAAUCUCUCUCUUCUUUUUUGGGUUUCAUGACAACAUUUGCAGUUCCUUUUUCUUAUUUUUGCGUGCUUGCAAUGUUGCUCUCUUGAAACAAAAAAAGAAGAGGACUCUUGAGAUUCGUUUUUAAAUAAAUACUGGUGGAAUUUAAGAAACAUGAUUUUUAUCAUUUGUUGGAUGGUUUUUGGUUUUUGUUAUGUUGGUCUCCAAAUAAGUGCUCAGAUGUUCAUGGUCGUAUAUUUUAUUUCUUGAUGAUGUUUUUCUUUCUCUUCAGCAAUAAACACAUCUGUCAUAUAGUUAUCUUGUCUGAAAUUAGCUGAUGGUAUGUUUUGGAAGUUGACUGUGAGGUGUCAGAAGAAAUUUGGAAGAUACAAAGAACUGCUCUGGCAUAUGUUGAAUAGUUAUAUCUCUCAUUACUUUAUCCGACUCUCAUCUUUUCUUACUGAAUAUGCUGAUUUUUUCUGUAUGUUGUAGAUCAUUUUGCUCAAUUCCUUUGUCUUAAUGCUUUACUAUAUGCUUUCCUCUUAAUAAAAGAAAUUCUCCUUUUUCUUUAAAAUUAUCAAAAUCUGGUCUUGCAGUUUCUCCUCCUCUUAUUCUAAUACUCUGAUCCUCUCCUUUCAGUUUUCACAGAUGUUAUCUGUUGUCUAAUAUUGGUUUAUACGGAACUUUGUUUCUUCUGGGAAAAAAAAAACUGAUUUUCCUUUAGCGGCUAAUUUUUUUUCUAGAUGUUGAUUACCAAUUUUGGUAGUAGACAUAGUGGAUGGAGUUGAAGGCAUCCUUUACAGCUAAAUCUUAUAAUGAAGUAAUGUGUAUUUUGAAUCUAUUUGUUGCUCAUCAAGUCCAUGCUUUAUAUUCUUAUCAUGUUGUGGCUUAUAGAAAGCUUGGUUAAUUUAAACACAUGUACUUGUCUUCAUAUGGUCGAUAUUGUGGGUUUUCUUUUCAACCAACUUGUAAGAUUGUUAUCAUUAUUAUUAUGCAAUUGGUUUUAUAUAGCCCAUGUCAAAGGAUUUUCUUUUAGACUAUUAUGAAAUAUCAUUAGGUACUUAUGUUCUUAUGGCUAUGUUUUUGGGUUUUUCUUAAAUCAUAAUGUGAGAUUGUUAUUUACGGGCAUUUGAAUGGCUUAAGCUGUGGUUUAUAUAUGUUUUGGUUAAACUUGUCAUGUACUUGUAUUUGUACAGCUCAUCUUGUGGCAUUUUUUAUAAAUUGUUAUGAAUGAUUGUUAUAUAUUUUUGUUCCUUUGGCCUAUGUCAUGGCCAAUAUAUGGCUUGGUUGGUUUAAAUUUAUUAUAUACUUGUGCUUCCUUGGCCCAUGUCAUGCCUUAUAAAUGGUUUGGUUAAAAGCGAUAUAUGCUUUUAUUAAUAUAGCCCAUUUUUUUGGCUUUUCUUAUAAAAUCAUUGUGAAGGGUUAUGUCAGUGGAUUUUUUUAAUCAUUAUGUGGAAGUGUUAUAUACUUGUAGUCAUAUGGCUCAUGUUGCAGCUUAUAUAAGAGUUGUUAUGAAGAAUUUUUAUAUAAUUGUGUUUAUAUAGCCCAUGUCGAGGCUUCUUGUUCUAGAUUAUUGUGUAGGUCCAUCAUCUACUUGUGUUCCUUUUUCUCGUAUUUUAACUUUUCUUUUAAAUCGUUAUGUGGAAUUAUUGGCCAAUGUCGUGGCAUGUAAAUGCUUUGGUUAAACUUGUUAAUAUUUGUAUAGCCCAUCUUGUGGCUUUUCUUAUAAAUCCUUUUGAAGAAAUAUAAGUUAGUGGAAUUUUUUACAUCAUUAUGUUGAAUUGUAGUAUAUUUGCUCUCACAUGGCCCAUGUCAUGGCUUAUGUAAUAUGAUUAAACUUGUUAUGUACUUGCAUUUUUGCAACCCAUAUUAUGGUUUUUUAUGAAUUAUUAUCAAGAGUUGUUAUAUACUUGUAUUCAUAUAGCCCAUGUCAAGGCUUCUUGUUUUAGAUUGUUGUGCAGAAUCAUUAUUUACUUGUAUUACUUUUUCUCAUGUUUUGGAUUUUCUUUUAAACUAUUAUGUUGAAUUAUUUACCUAUGCUGUGGCUUGUAAAUAUUUUGGUUAAAUUUGUUAAUACUUGUAUAGCCUAUGUCGUGGCUUUGCUUAUAUAUCUUUUUGAAGAAUUAUAAGUCUAUGGAUUUUUUUAUAUAAUUAUCGAAUUGUUAUAUUUGCUUUCACAUGGCUCAUGUCGUGGCAUGUAUAUAAUAUGUUUAAACUUGUUAUGUACUUGUAUUUUUGUAGCCCAUGAUGUCGUUUUUCUUGUAAAUUGUUCUGAAGAAUUGUCAUAUACUUGUGUUCAUAUAGCCCAUGUUGAGGCUUCUUGUUUUGGAUUAUUAUGUAGGACCAUUAUUUACUUGUGUGUACUUUUCCCCGUGUUUUGUCUUUUCUUUUAUACCGUUAUGUGGAAUUAUUUGCCUAUGUCGUGGCUUUUCUAUUAACUCAUUGUGAAGGCUUAUAAGUCAGUGAAUUUCUUUAUAUCAUUAUGUGGAAUUGGUUUAUAUUUGUUUGCACAUGGUCCAUGCCAUAGGUUAUAUAUAAUUUGGCCAAACUUGUUAUAUACAUAUUUUUUGUUUGACCAUAUUAUGGUUUUCCUUAUAAAUUGUCAUGAAGAAUUGUUACAUACUUGUGUUUGCAGAGCCCAUGUUGAGGCCUCUUGUUUUGAAUUAUUGUGCAGAUCCAUUAUUUACUUGUGUUACUUUUUGGCAUUUCUUUAAAAUGUUAUGUGGGAUUAUUGGCCCUUGUCAUGCCAUAUCAAGGUUUUGGUUAAACUUGUUAAUAUUUGUAUAGCCCAUGGUGUGGCUUUUCUUAUAGAUUAUUGUAAAGCAUUAGACGUCGAUGGUUUUUUCUAUCAUGUUCUGGAAUUGUUAUAUUCUUGCUCUCAUAUGGCCCAUGUCGUGGCAUAUAUUUAAUUUGGUUAAAUGUAGCCCAGAUAGUGGUUUUUCUUGUAAAUUGUCAUGAAGAAUUGUUAUAUACUUGUGUUCAUAUAGUCCAUGCCGCGGCUUCUUGUUUUGGAUUAUUGUGCAGGACUAUCACUUACUUGGGUUCCAAUUUCUGGUUUUUUGGCUUUUAUUUUAUGGCCUGUUAUGUGGAAUUAUUCGCCCAUGUUGUGGCUUGGAAAUGUUUUGGGUAAGCUAGGUAAUAUUUACAUAGCUCAUCUCAUGGCACUUCUUACAAAUCAUCAUGAAGGUUAUAUGUCAAUGAAUUUUUUUUUUAGUUAUUAUGUUAUACUGUUAUAUACUUGCUUUCGCAUGGCCCACGUCGUGGCUUAUAUAUAAUUUGGUUAAACUUGUUAUGUAAUACUUUCUAGCCCAUAUUAUGGUUUUUCUUGAAAAUUGUUAUGAGGAAUUAUUAUAUACUUGUGUUCAUAUAGCCCUUGUUGAGGCUUAUAUAUAAUUUGACUAAACUUGUUAUAUAUUUGAUUUUUAUAGCCAUACCACGGUUUUUCUUAUAAAUUGUUAUAUAGAAUUGUUAAGUACUUGUUUUUAUAUAGUCCAUGUCGAGGCUUCUUAUUUUGGAUUAUUGUGCAAGAGCAAUAUCUACUUGUGUUUCUUCAUCCCCUGUUUUGGCUUUUUCUUUAAACUAUUAUAUGGAUAUAUCGGCCUAUCUCGUAGCUUGUAAAUGUUUUGGUUAUUGUUAAUAUUGUAUAGCCUAUGUCAUGGCUUUUCUUAUAAAUCAUUUUGAAGAAUUAUAUGUCAGUGGAAGUUUUAUAUCAUUAUAUGGAACUCUUGUGUACUUACUUCAUGUUCCAUGUUAUGGCUUAUUUAUAUUUUGGUUAGACUUGUUAUAUACUUGCAUUUUUGUAGCCUAUAUUGUGGUUUAUCUUAUAAACUGUCAUGAAGAAAUGUUAUAUACUUGUGUUUAUAUAGGCCAUAUCGAGGCUUCUUGUUCUAGAUUAUUGUGCAGUACACAUCAUUUACUUGUGUUCCUUUUUCUCGUAUUUUAGGUUUUCUUAUAAAUUGUUAUGUGGAAUUAUUGGCCCAUGUCAUGGGUCGUAAAUGAUUUGGUUAAACUUGUUAAUAUUUGUAUAGCCCAUGUUGUGGCUUUUCUUUAUAAAUCCUAUUGAAAAAUUAUAAGUUAGUGGAUUUUUUUUAUAUCAUUAUGUUGAAUUGUAGUAUAACUGCUUUGACAUGGCCUUUGUCGUGGCUUAUAUAUAAUAUGGUUAGACUUGUAACAUACUUGAUUUUUUGCAGCCUAGUUAUGGUCUUUUUUUAUAAAUUGUUAUGAAGAAUUGUUAUAUACUUGCGCUCAUAUAGCCCAUGUCAAGGCUUCUGGUUUUGGAUUAUUGUGCAGGGCCAUUAUUUACUUGCGUUACUUUUUCUCAUGUUUUGGCUUUUCUUUUAAACCAUUGUGGAAUUAUUGGCCCAUGUUGUGGCUUGUAAAUGUUUUGGUUAAAUUUGUCAAUACUUGCAUAGCCCAUGUUGUGGCUUUUCUUAUAAAUCAUUGUGAAGAAUUAUAGGUAAGCGGAUUUUUUAUAUGUGGAAUAGUUAUAUACUUGCUUUCACAUGGCCCAUGUUGUGGCUUAUAUGUAAUUUGGCUAUACUUGUUAUGUACAUAUUUUUUGUUGCCCAUAUUGUGGUUUUUCAUAAAAAUUGUUGGGAAGAAUUGUUAUAUACUUGUGUUUGUAAAGCCCAUGUCGAGGCUUCUUGUUUUGAAUUAUUGUGCAGGUCCAUUAUUUAGUUGUAUUACUUUUUUCCAUAUUUUGCCACUUCUUUAAACCAUUAUGUGGAACUAUUGGCCCAUGUCGUGGCUUAUAUAUGUUUUGGUUAAACUUGUUGAUACUCAUAUAGCCCAUGUCGUGGCUUUUCUUAUAGAUUAUUGUAUUAGACAUCAGUGGAUUUUUUGUAUCAUUUUGUGGAAUUGUUAUUACUUGCUUUCACAUGGCCUGUUUCAUGGUUUAUAUUUAAAUGUAGCUCAUAUUAUGAUUGUUCGUAUAAAUUGUCAUGAUGAAUUGCUAUGUGCUUGUGUUCAUACAGCCCAUGUCGAGGCUUCUUAUUUGGAUGAUUAUGCAGCACCAUUACUUGUCUUCCAUUUUCCGGUGUUUUGGCUUUUAUUUUAUAACCUAUUAUAUGGAAUUAUUGGCCCAUGUCGUGGCUUGCAAAUGUUUUGGUUAAACUUGGUAAUAUUUGUAUAGCCCAUAUCGUGGCACAUUUUACAAAUCAAUUUAAAGGUUUAUAUGUUAGUGCAUAUUUUAAUUUGUUAUGUUAUACUGUUAUAUACUUGCUUUAGUAUAGCCCAUGUCGUGGCUUGUAUAUAAUUUGGUUAAACUUGUCAUAAUUUCUAGCCCAUAUUAUGGUUUUUCUUAUAAAUUUUUAUGUUGAACUAUUAUAUACUUGUGUUGAUACAGCCCAUGUCGAGGCUUAUAUGUAAUCUGGCUAAACUUCGUGUAUUUGAUUUUUGUAACCAUAUUGUGGUUUUUCUUAUAAAUUAUGAUGUAGAAUAGUUAAAUACUUGUUUUUUUAUGGCCCACGUUGUGGCUUCUUGUUUUGGAUUAUUGUGCAGGACUGAUAUCUACUUGUGUUCCUUCAUUCCAUGAUUUGGCUUCUAAAUGUUUUGGUUAAACCUGUGAAUAUUUGUAUAGCCCAAGUUGUGGCUUUUCUUACGUACCCUUUUGAAGAAUUAUAAGUCAUUGAUUUUUUUUUUAUAUAUCAUUAUGUGGAAUUGUAAUACAUUUGCUUUCACAUGGCCCAUGUCGGGGCUUGUAUAUAAUAUAGUUAAAACUUACUAUGUUCUUGUAUUUUUAUAGCCCAUGUUAUCGUUUUUCUUAUAAAUUGUUAUGAAGAAUUGUUAUAUACUUGUGUUCAUAUAGCCCAUGUCAAGGCAUCUUGCUUUGGAUUAUUGUGCAAGCCAGUUAUUUACUUGUGUUACGUUUUCCUAUGUUUUGGGUUCUCUUUUAAACUAUUAUGUCAUAUUAUUGGCCCAUGCUGUGGCUUGUAAAUGUUUUGGUUAAAUUUGUCAAUAUUUGUAUGGCCCAUGUCUUGGUUUUUGUUAUAAAUCCUUGUGAAGGGUUAUAUGUUGGCGGAUUUUUUUAUAUCAUUAUAUGCAACUGCUAUAUACUUGCUUUCA
Molecule: long non-coding RNA, 6562 nt
Organism: Phoenix dactylifera (date palm)
Lineage: Eukaryota; Viridiplantae; Streptophyta; Magnoliopsida; Arecales; Arecaceae
Source: RefSeq, a predicted model, not a curated record